UUGCCCUGAUGUGGGGGAUAACCAUUGGAAACGAUGGCUAAUACCGCAUAAUAGCUUCGGCUCAAAGAGGGGGACCUUCGGGCCUCUCGCGUCAGGAUAUGCCCAGGUGGGAUUAGCUAGUUGGUGAGGUAAUGGCUCACCAAGGCGACGAUCCCUAGCUGGUCUGAGAGGAUGAUCAGCCACACUGGAACUGAGACACGGUCCAGACUCCUACGGGAGGCAGCAGUGGGGAAUAUUGCACAAUGGGCGCAAGCCUGAUGCAGCCAUGCCGCGUGUAUGAAGAAGGCCUUCGGGUUGUAAAGUACUUUCAGCAGUGAGGAAGGCGGAGUCGUUAAUAGCGGCCUCGUUUGACGUUAGCUGCAGAAGAAGCACCGGCUAACUCCGUGCCAGCAGCCGCGGUAAUACGGAGGGUGCGAGCGUUAAUCGGAAUUACUGGGCGUAAAGCGCAUGCAGGUGGUUUGU
This 462-nucleotide ribosomal RNA is filed under the name uncultured bacterium. RNAcentral's name for it is "bacterial SSU rRNA". It matches the Rfam family "Bacterial small subunit ribosomal RNA", at positions 126 to 583 of the family's 1533-position model. The record is from RNAcentral.